AACUCAUAAAGGUCCACUUGCCCCUGC
RNAcentral lists this non-coding RNA (27 nucleotides) under Rattus norvegicus (Norway rat). Lineage: Eukaryota; Metazoa; Chordata; Mammalia; Rodentia; Muridae. The record is from RNAcentral.